RNAcentral lists this ribosomal RNA (418 nucleotides) under uncultured bacterium. Its description in RNAcentral is "bacterial SSU rRNA". It matches the Rfam family "Bacterial small subunit ribosomal RNA", at positions 355 to 787 of the family's 1533-position model. The record is from RNAcentral.
UGGGGAAUAUUGGGCAAUGGGCGGAAGCCUGACCCAGCAACGCCGCGUGAAGGAAGAAGGCUUUCGGGUUGUAAACUUCUUUUAAGAGGGACGAAUAAAGUGACGGUACCUCUUGAAUAAGCCACGGCUAACUACGUGCCAGCAGCCGCGGUAAUACGUAGGUGGCAAGCGUUAUCCGGAUUUAUUGGGUGUAAAGGGCGUGUAGGCGGGACUGCAAGUCAGAUGUGAAAACUAUGGGCUCAACCCAUAGCCUGCAUUUGAAACUGUAGUUCUUGAGUGCUGGAGAGGCAAUCGGAAUUCCGUGUGUAGCGGUGAAAUGCGUAGAUAUACGGAGGAACACCAGUGGCGAAGGCGGAUUGCUGGACAGUAACUGACGCUGAGGCGCGAAAGCGUGGGGAGCAAACAGGAUUAGAUACCC